Molecule: transfer RNA, 82 nt
Filed under: Candidatus Iainarchaeum sp.
Lineage: Archaea; Nanobdellati; Candidatus Iainarchaeota; Candidatus Iainarchaeia; Candidatus Iainarchaeales; Candidatus Iainarchaeaceae
Description: tRNA-Leu
Rfam family: tRNA
About the family: Transfer RNA (tRNA) molecules are approximately 80 nucleotides in length. Their secondary structure includes four short double-helical elements and three loops (D, anti-codon, and T loops).
Source: RNAcentral
GAGUGGCUGAACGGUUAAAGCGUUGGGCUCAAGACCCAAAUGACCUUGGCGGGUCUUACAGGUUCAAACCCCGUCCCCGGCG